GUGUCAGUAUAAUGGUACCACAGUAUUACUCCUUAAAGGUGUCAGUAUAAUGGUACCACAGUAUUACUCCUUAAAGGUGUCAGUAUAAUGGUACCACAGUAUUACUCCUUAAAGGUGUCAGUAUAAUGGUACCACAGUAUUACCCCUUAAAGGUGUCAGUAUAAAGGUACCACAGUAUUACUCCUUAAAGGUGUCAGUGUAAAGGUACCACAGUAUUACUCCUUAAAGGUGUCAGUGUAAAGGUACCACAGUAUUACUCCUUAAAGGUGUCAGUAUAAAGGUACCACAGUAUUACUCCUUAAAGGUGUCAGUAUAAUGGUACCACAGUAUUACUCCUUAAAGGUGUCAGUAUAAAGGUACCACAGUAUUACUCCUUAAAGGUGUCAGUGUAAAGGUACCACAGUAUUACUCCUUAAAGGUGUCAGUAUAAAGGUACCACAGUAUUACUAAUUAAAGGUGUCAGUAUAAAGGUACCACAGUAUUACUAAUUAAAGGUGGCAGUAUAACGAGGUUGACUGUAGUGCAGGUCAGGUUUUCCUUCUGGUAGUUCACUGAAUCCUGUUUCUAAUUGGACAGAGGUCCUUCUGGAAGUUCAUUGAUUCCUGUCUCUAAUUGUACAAAGACAGAGAUCCUUCUGGUUGUUCACUGAUUCCUGUCUCUAAUUGGACAGAGAUCCUUCUGGUAGUUGACUGACUCCUGUCUCUAAUUGGACAAAGAGAAAGAUCCUUCUGGUAGUUCACUGAUUCCUGUCUCUAAUUGGACAAAGAGAAAGAUCCUUCUGGUAGCUCACUGAUUCCUGUCUCUAAUUGGACAAAGAGAAAGAUCCUUCUGGUAGUUCACUGAUUCCUGUCUCUAAUUGGACAAAGAGAAAGAUCCUUCUGGUAGCUCACUGAUUCCUGUCUCUAAUUGGACAAAGAGAAAGAUCCUUCUGGUAGUUCACUGAUUCCUGUCUCUAAUUGGACAAAGAGAAAUAUCCUUCUGGUAGCUCACUGAUUCCUGUCUCUAAUUGGGCAAAGAGAAAGAUCCUUCUGGUAGUUGACUGACUCCUGUCUCUAAUUGGGCAAAGAGAAAGAUCCUUCUGGUAGUUCAUUGAUUCCUGUUUUCUAAUUGGACAGAGAUCCAAUUCAAAUUUUAUUGGUCACAUACACAUGGUUAGCAGAUGUUAAUGCGAGUGUGGUGAAAUGCUUGUGCUUCUAGUUCCGACAAUGCAGUAAUAAUCAACGAGUAAUCUAACAUUUUCACAACAACUACCUUAUACACACAAGUGUAAGGGAAUGAAGAAUAUGUACAUAAAGAUAUAUGGAUGAGCGAUGGCCAUAUAUAACCCAUAUAAACAUAUUAAGUGGCAUUGUUUAAAGUGACUAGUGAUACAUUUUUCAUCAAUUUUGAAUUAUUAAAGUGGCUGGAGUUGAGUCAGUAUGUUGGCAGCAGCCCCUCAAUGUUAGUGGUGGCUGUUUAACAGUCUGAUGGCCUUGAGAUAGAAGCUGUUUUUCAGUCUCUCGGUCCCUGCUUUGAUGUACCUGUACUGACCUCGCCUUCUGGAUGAUAGCAUGGUGAACAGGCAGUGGCUCGGGUGGUUGUUGUCCUUGAUGAUCUUUAUGGUAAUUCAUUGAUUCCUGUCUCUAAUUGGACAGAGAUCCUUCAAUUCACUGAUUCCUGUCUCUAAUUGGACAGAGAUCCUUCUGGUAGUUGACUGAUUCCUGUCUCUAAUUGGACAGAGAUCCUUCAAUUCACUGAUUCCUGUCUCUAAUUGGACAGAGAUCCUUCUGGUAGUUGACUGAUUCCUGUCUCUAAUUGGACAGAGAUCCUUCAAUUCACUGAUUCCUGUCUCUAAUUGGACAGAGAUCCUUCAGUUCACUGAUUCCUCUCUAAUUGGACAGAGAUCCUUCUGGUGUGGAACAUACAGGCAUUAUAUAAUCAAAGCCUGUUUCCAGCAUGUUGGUAACUGUGGUACUUCUACUAAUAAUUGUAAGAGUUGGAUGUGGUGAUGUCAUCAUGUAAACAGUCAGACCAGAUCCCUGUUUAGCUAGCACCACGGUAGGUGUGUGUCUCAGUGUCCAGGUGUGUACAGGACCAGAUCCAUG
This is a long non-coding RNA of Oncorhynchus tshawytscha (Chinook salmon), 2084 nucleotides long. The record is from Ensembl. NCBI's taxonomy places the organism in Eukaryota, Metazoa, Chordata, Actinopteri, Salmoniformes, Salmonidae.